GACGAACGCUGGCGGCGUGCUUAACACAUGCAAGUCGAACGGAAAGGCCCUGCUUUUGUGGGGUGCUCGAGUGGCGAACGGGUGAGUAACACGUGAGUAACCUGCCCUUGACUUUGGGAUAACUUCAGGAAACUGGGGUUAAUACCGGAUAGGAGCUCCUGCUGCAUGGUGGGGGUUGGAAAGUUUCGGCGGUUGGGGAUGGACUCGCGGCUUAUCAGCUUGUUGGUGGGGUAGUGGCUUACCAAGGCUUUGACGGGUAGCCGGCCUGAGAGGGUGACCGGCCACAUUGGGACUGAGAUACGGCCCAGACUCCUACGGGAGGCAGCAGUGGGGAAUAUUGCACAAUGGGCGGAAGCCUGAUGCAGCAACGCCGCGUGCGGGAUGACGGCCUUCGGGUUGUAAACCGCUUUCGCCUGUGACGAAGCGUGAGUGACGGUAAUGGGGAAAGAAGCACCGGCUAACUACGG
RNAcentral lists this ribosomal RNA (467 nucleotides) under uncultured bacterium. RNAcentral describes it as "partial 16S ribosomal RNA". It matches the Rfam family "Bacterial small subunit ribosomal RNA", at positions 28 to 506 of the family's 1533-position model. The record is from RNAcentral.